GACGAACGCUGGCGGCGUGCUUAACACAUGCAAGUCGAACGGAAAGGCGCUGUUUCUGUGGGGUGCUCGAGUGGCGAACGGGUGAGUAACACGUGAGUAACCUGCCCUUGACUUUGGGAUAAAUUCAGGCAACUGGGGAUAAUACCGGAUAGGAGGCCGUGCUGCAUGGAGGGGGUUGGAAAGUUUCGGCGGUUGGGGAUGGACUCGCGGCUUAUCAGCUUGUUGGUGGGGUAGUGGCUUACCAAGGCUUUGACGGGUCGCCGGCCUGAGAGGGUGACCGGGGACAUUGGGACUGAGAGACGGCCCAGACACCUACGGGAGGCAGCGGUGGGGAGUAUAGCGCAAUGGGCGGAAGCCUGUUGCAGCAACGUCGCGUGCGGGAUAACGGCCUUCGGGUUGUAAACCGCUUUCGCCGGAGACGAGGCGAGAGUGACGGUAAUGGGUAAAGAAGCACCGGCUAACUACGUG
This 468-nucleotide ribosomal RNA is filed under the name uncultured bacterium. RNAcentral's name for it is "partial 16S ribosomal RNA". It matches the Rfam family "Bacterial small subunit ribosomal RNA", at positions 28 to 507 of the family's 1533-position model. The record is from RNAcentral.